UACGGGAGGCAGCAGUGGGGAAUAUUGCACAAUGGGCGCAAGCCUGAUGCAGCCAUGCCGCGUGUAUGAAGAAGGCCUUCGGGUUGUAAAGUACUUUCAGCAGUGAGGAGGGUGGAUAUGUUAAUAGCAUAUUCAUUUGACGUUAGCUGCAGAAGAAGCACCGGCUAACUCCGUGCCAGCAGCCGCGGUAAUACGGAGGGUGCGAGCGUUAAUCGGAAUUACUGGGCGUAAAGCGCAUGCAGGUGGUUUGUUAAGUCAGAUGUGAAAGCCCGGGGCUCAACCUCGGAAUUGCAUUUGAAACUGGCAAACUAGAGUACUGUAGAGGGGGUGGAAUUUCAGGUGUAGCGGUGAAAUGCGUAGAGAUCUGAAGGAAUACCGGUGGCGAAGGCGGCCCCCUGGACAGAUACUGACACUCAGAUGCGAAAGCGUGGGGAGCAAACAGGAUUAGAUACCCUGGUAG
RNAcentral lists this ribosomal RNA (460 nucleotides) under uncultured bacterium. RNAcentral's name for it is "bacterial SSU rRNA". It matches the Rfam family "Bacterial small subunit ribosomal RNA", at positions 340 to 793 of the family's 1533-position model. The record is from RNAcentral.